GUGCCAGCAGCCGCGGUAAUUCCAGCUCCAAUAGCGUAUAUUAAAGUUGUUGUGGUUAAAAAGCUCGUAGUUGGAUCUCGGCGGACUGAGGGCGGUUUGCUUGCUAGUAUUACUGCCCUAUAGUCCGUAGUUUUGCCAGAGGUUUCGGGGUGCUCUUAAUCGAGUGUCCCGGGAUGCUGGCAGGUUUACUUUGAAAAAAUUAGAGUGCUCAAAGCAGGCUAUUACGCCUGAAUAUUCGUGCAUGGAAUAAUAGAAUAGGAAGUCGUUUCUAUUUUGUUGGUUUUCGGAAAUCGACUUAAUGAUUAAUAGGGACAGUCGGGGGCAUUUGUAUUCAAACGACAGAGGUGAAAUUCUUGGACCGUUUGAAGACAAACUACUGCGAAAGCAUUUGCCAAGAAGGUUUUCAUUAAUCAA
This 414-nucleotide ribosomal RNA is filed under the name Calanus glacialis. RNAcentral describes it as "SSU rRNA". It matches the Rfam family "Eukaryotic small subunit ribosomal RNA", at positions 564 to 980 of the family's 1831-position model. Lineage: Eukaryota; Metazoa; Arthropoda; Copepoda; Calanoida; Calanidae. The record is from RNAcentral.